RNAcentral lists this unclassified non-coding RNA (400 nucleotides) under uncultured cyanobacterium. Its description in RNAcentral is "contains 16S-23S intergenic spacer region". The record is from RNAcentral. Lineage: Bacteria; Bacillati; Cyanobacteriota.
GGACUACACGGGUUUCUAAUCCCUUUCGCUCCCCUGGCUUUCGUCCAUGAGCGUCAGUGAUGGCCCAGCAGAGCGCCUUCGCCACUGGUGUUCUUCCCGAUAUCUACGCAUUUCACCGCUACACCGGGAAUUCCCUCUGCCCCUACCACACUCAAGCCCAACAGUUUCCACUGCCAUGAUGGAGUUAAGCUCCACUUUUUAACAGCAGACUUGAAGGGCCGCCUGCGGACGCUUUACGCCCAAUAAUUCCGGAUAACGCUUGCCACUCCCGUAUUACCGCGGCUGCUGGCACGGAAUUAGCCGUGGCUUAUUCAUCAAGUACCGUCAGAUCUUCUUCCUUGAUAAAAGAGGUUUACAGCCCAGAGGCCUUCAUCCCUCACGCGGCGUUGCUCCGUCAGGC